Molecule: RNA transcript, 1366 nt
Organism: Helianthus annuus (common sunflower)
Lineage: Eukaryota; Viridiplantae; Streptophyta; Magnoliopsida; Asterales; Asteraceae
Gene name: triose phosphate/phosphate translocator, chloroplastic-like
Exons: 6
Source: RefSeq, a predicted model, not a curated record
CCCUCCAUCUCCAAAAAAUUAAACCCCAAUUUCCCCCACAAAAAUUCACUUCCCUCCUGUAUCCAAAAAAUUAAACCCCAAAACUUCCUCUCAUCUUCCAAACACCUCUCCUCUCCAUCGUCUAUCUGCCGCCUGCUGAACCUCGAAGCCAUCCAGCCGAAGACUGGACGCAAUCCACGACAACCUCAACCUCACAUGGUUUCGCCCUAAUCGACGAACCCUAAACUCUAAUCGAACAUCACGGUUAUUUGAAGAGUACUUGAAAGUUUGGUUUGUUAAUUGAACAAUGUGGGCUCCUCCACCGCCUCCAAUGGCUGACAACAUACGAGGAAUUCACACAGAUGAAAUCCAAAUUUGAGAAUAUUAGAGGCUUUAAAAUUGUUGUGAUGCUAUUGAUGCCACUCGUAUAUUAUGAAGUUGCCGUCAGCAACGGAUCGAACAACUAAUGUUUGGCUUGACGGAAUGAGUCAAUUGCGGUAUACUUCAUGUAUAAUGGAUCAAACGUAUGUUAGCUAAAAAGGAAAUGGGUCAAAUAGGAGAAAUGGUUUCAGUGUGGCCUUAGCCCAUUGACUCGAAACUAACUUCUGAAGCUUCUUAUUCCGGUGGCCUUUUGUCAUACCAGUAACAUAUCAUUUGUAGCCGUUACAGUCUCAUUCACCCACACAAUCAAAGCCCUUGAGCCGUUCUUCAAUGCUGUUGCUUCUCAAUUUAUUCUCGGACAGUCGAUUCCCAUAACUCUAUGGCUUUCUUUGGCUCCUGUUGUUAUUGGUGUGUCAAUGGCCUCUUUGACUGAGCUGUCAUUCAACUGGCUAGGCUUUAUCAGUGCCAUGAUUUCCAAUAUCUCUUUCACUUACACUCUUACAGGAGUAUCUACUUUAAGAAAGCAAUGGUUGUUAACGGGCUAUGGCUUAGAGCCGUGUUAGCAUGUGUUUUUGGGAGUCGUAUUUUAUACGGAGGGUAUGACUCCACCAUAUCAAAUUCUUUAACCGAGGGCUCGGUGAAAAAAACGGAUGGUGGUGGAGAAUCAUACAUGACCUCGAAAGGGCUUAUGGAAUUAUUCAAAGUGAGCCUUGAAGUUGAUAUGCAAAAAGAAAUUGAAGAGGACCAUAAAGGAAAAAAAAAAGGAAAAAAAAAGUUGAACUAUGCCUGAAGAUUUUGAUAGCCAACAAGCCAACCUAAGGCUACAAUGCUCAAUAUUGUGAAAAAGCUACAUAUCGAGUACUUUGUUUUGCAUGUAAUUGAAAACUUUAUUUUUGUUAAUUUUUUAGCAUAGUAAUUGAAAACUUUAUUUUGAUUAUGUUGUUAUUUUGAGUUUUGACAUAUGUUAAAUUACAAUAUAAGAUUAUCUAUUAUAUUUAUGUUAUCA